GCUUGCACUGGUCAAUCUAGUGGCGAACGGGUGAGUAACACGUGGGUAACCUGCCCAUCAGAGGGGAAUAACAUUCGGAAACGGAUGCUAAAACCGCAUAGGUCUUCGAGCCGCAUGGCUUGAAGAGGAAAAGAGGCGCAAGCUUCUGCUGAUGGAUGGACCCGCGGUGCAUUAGCUAGUUGGUGAGGUAACGGCUCACCAAGGCCGUGAUGCAUAGCCGACCUGAGAGGGUGAUCGGCCACAUUGGGACUGAGACACGGCCCAAACUCCUACGGGAGGCAGCAGUAGGGAAUCUUCCGCAAUGGACGCAAGUCUGACGGAGCAACGCCGCGUGAGUGAGGAAGGUUUUCGGAUCGUAAAACUCUGUUGUUAGAGAAGAACAAGUGCUAGAGUAACUGUUAGCGCCUUGACGGUAUCUAACCAGAAAGCCACGGCUAACUACGUGCCAGCAGCCGCGGUAAUACGUAGGUGGCAAGCGUUGUCCGGAUUUAUUGGGCGUAAAGCGAGCGCAGGCGGUUCCUUAAGUCUGAUGUGAAAGCCCCCGGCUCAACCGGGGAGGGUCAUUGGAAACUGGGGAACUUGAGUGCAGAAGAGGAGAGUGGAAUUCCAUGUGUAGCGGUGAAAUGCGUAGAGAUUAGGAGGAA
Molecule: ribosomal RNA, 644 nt
Filed under: uncultured Bacilli bacterium
Lineage: Bacteria; Bacillati; Bacillota; Bacilli
Description: bacterial SSU rRNA
Rfam family: Bacterial small subunit ribosomal RNA
Source: RNAcentral